CCCGGUUGUACAUGAUUGCUUUUAUUUUUGAAACGACUCUUGUAUUAUGUGCUCUACCCAUUUGACAAUUUUCCAAAGAGAAUUUGUUCACUUUUUGAAUUUGUCAAAACUUAAAACUGAAAGUCAUCAAUGGUAAACAUAAGUAAAAUUGUUUAAUUAUUGAAUGAUUAAUCUCAAAUUACUAAUGCUCAAAUGUUAGAGUAACAAAAGUAAGCGAAUCUUAUAAUCUAGUUUGACCUUUUAACUACAAGUCUUGGUUUCUUAUGUUUCCUAAACAAUCAAAAUAACAAAACAAUAUCCAAUAGUAAUGUUAGUUUCAAAGACAUACACAUAAUCAACAAAUAGCAAUAGCUAAUAUUAAAAAAUGAGAGGAGGGGAGAUUUUAACUCUUGAUAUUGGGCUCGUUAGUAGUCAAGCUCAUCCGGAUUCAAACAAGCAGCAGACUCAACAAGUGCAGAGGAAGUGACCCAGACCUGGAACUUGGGUUUGAUUUCCAAAGGAACUUGCCAGACUCAAUUCGGACAUGCAUACAAAAGAAAAGAAGAUAAUUAGUGGAGAUCAAUUUAAGGUGAAAUAAGAUAAAGUCAUAACGACUAAUAAUAAUAAAGACACUCAAGAAUACAGUAAAAUUAGCUUUAUUUGUACCAACCCUAUGAGUAUUAAUUAAAGUCAAUGACCAAAGGCUUGGAGUAAACCUCAUUUUAUGGAUAAAGUCCCCUAUGGACCCCUGAUACUUCAGAGUUCACAAGGGUCACAUAGACCCCAAGUAAAGCUUUCGUCAGGGAGGGGUAGCUCAACCACAAAUCAAGCUCAUACCUAAAUACCCUUGAUUAUCAACUCUCACUCUUCCUAAAAGGUUUGGACACAAAUAUAAUGUCAACUUAGUAGUUUCACAUUGUUAGAAGUAAAUACAUAGCCACAUUAGACAUUGCAAUUAUCAUUAGAGCAUAAUCAGCUAAGAAGCAACACAAUAUUGACCUUAGGACAUCUUAUCAGAAUAAUAAGUACAAAGAUAAAUCAUUGUAGGUAGAUUUAUAGGGUUCCAAUAACAUCAAAGACCUUAAGGCUGAUCAUAGUAUGCAUCAGAACACUUAAGAGGAUCAUUAAUAAAAUGCGGUCAUAGAACAAAGAGAGCUAGUUGCAUAUUAUCAGUAGAUAGGUGUUAUCUUUAACCACUUCAAGUUCAUAGAUGCCUUAUUUAUGUGAUCUAAGCAUCAGUAAGUGACAAAGAACGAUAUGUUCACAGCUUUAUUAAUUCUAUUGAAGGUUCAGCAUUUCAGGAUCCUUGAAUAUGUUCAUGCCACUUAAAACAGGUCAGCAUGCAUUUCAAUAAUCUUCAGAACAGUCUAGAGCAAGCAUGCAUAUGUGUGUGUGUGUAUAUAUAUAUAUAACUGAGACCCCUACUACACUAGACACUUAUAUUAACAACCGUGUUCAGGCUUCCCAAAUUAUCAAUCCGCUAAACCAGCAGAGAUAUCAAUGCAUGUAGGAAAGUUAGUUUUAAUUUUGUUUGGACCUAACGAGGAUGAUAUCUAGUUGUGAUAAUGUAUAGUCUAACAGUUUUUCAAUUUGCAAGAUCCAAAUAUCACUCCAGUUCAUGAUUAAGUUCUUCUAUACAUAGUGAUGUCAACUGACACGAGUCAGUAAGUAGAGAUGUUCAUUCUCAUUUGAUUCAAGCAGGACAAUCAGAUCACAACAAGUUCAUUUACACAUGUAAGUAAUUUUACUAACAAGUUACACCAACAAACCAUUUUGGAUCCUACUGGCAUAGUACAUGUUCAACAUCAUUCAAUCAAGCUAUUAGGUUACCAGAGUGAACAAUUACCCAUAUUGACAAAAGAAGUCUUCUCAAAUAGUGUCUUAGACACCACAUGAUCAUGAAAGAUCCAAAAACAUAAAUGGUCAAAACCAAACAGAUAGAUGAAUGUAGAUCAUCAUUUAGUAGGACUACUGUGGCACCCUAAGUUAAGAUGUACCCACACCUUCACUAAAUUAUUAUGAUGACAUCCAAACCAUUAUCAAUAUAGACCAAGCAUGACUACGAUCUAAGGUUCUUUAGCUAAACAAUCGGAUAAUCAUAAUGAGAUAGGCACUACCAUUAGGGUAGAUUAACAGGAGGCUGCAAGAAAAUCAACAUGGUAACUUAAACAUAAAGUUCUCUUAGAUAAGGGCAUGCAAUGGUUCCUAAGCACUACUGGAUCAGCAAAAACAAUAUGAUAAGUGUAUAUAUAAGCAUAGAGGUCAAGCAGGAGUCAUUCAAUCAAUGCAAUAGUAUAAGUCACAUAUAGCUACUAACACGGAGCUCAAACAGUCAUGAGAUAGUGAAUGAUGAUAGGAAGUGGACAAGUUUAGUGAUAGCUAUGCUAACAAGUUCACCACAUAAUUUAAAACUAUAGUGAUAAACAUCCAUGAAUCACUUAUCAACAACAAGAUUGUUAGCUAAGGUCAGUAAAGCAGACAUAUCAAAUAUAAGACAGGAUUUGCAAUGAGAAUCAUUCAUUGGACCAAGACAAGGAAACUCAACUUCAUAGGCAUGAAGAUCAAGAUAACAUAUUACUGGAGAUAUGAAACCUUAACAGGACAUUAGGAAGAAUUCAAGAACAUAAUUCAAUUGAUUUAGCUGACAUGAUAGUGUUCAUACGGCAGUCAUCAAACUAAUAGGGGUGAAUCAAACAUAAAAUCAACAUAAGGGUCAAUUCAACUAAUCAUGGAAGACUUAGCAGGAUUUAUCCAUUAGAAUAGCAUCGGUGUAGAAAUAUCUUAACUAACUAAAUCAUGAGAAGUAAAAUUCAAUAACCAUAACAGAUUAAGUAACAUAGUACAACUAUCAUGAAAUGUCAUUAAUCACAUGAAUAGCUAGACAUAAUGAAAGCCUCGUAUUAUUAUGAACAAACAAGUGAUUAUUGACAGAUGAUGAUAACAAGAAAGUAAAAAUCAGAAGAAAAAGAGGGGAAACCAUUGUAAGAUUUUUACCUUAGCCCGAUGGGAGGAGAAGGUCAACCAUUGGAGUACUGAAGAAAUAUCGGUUAGAGCUCCAUAUCCUAAGGUCACGGUGUUUGACCUCUGGACAACAUAUGAUGAUUAUGAGGUAGAAGACAUGGUCAUGCAUGCUUCGAUUUGAUCGGAUAGGGGGAUGAUGAAUAAAAUCCCAGAUUGCACUUUUUAGGUCUAGGGUUCUGGGGUUUGUGAUUUGAAUCGGAGUGAUGAGAAAGGAAAGGAAUCGGCAAGAUUCGCGGUUAGAAGGGACAGAAGGGGUGAUUUGGGUUUGAUUUUGUGCAAGGUUUUGGAUUGAUGGGUUUGCAGGGUUUGAGAGAACAGGGGAAGAAAUAGGAAAUGAGGACGGCCACUUGGUGAUAGAAUGAUUAGAGUUAGAGGCAUCUCUAAGGUUAAAAACAAGAGAUGCAAUGUGAGUCGUUAGAUCUUUUGAUCAACGGCUCCGAAUCUUCGAAGAAUAAAUAUUGAUAGAAAGAUUUAUUGCGGAAAAGUGAAGGUCAUUGGAUCUUAGUGAUUCAACCGCUGAGACUAGAUGCAGAACAAUUAUAAAAGUAAAAAGAAAAAUAGGGAUUAAUCGUAAACUGUUGAUGGAUUGGACAAACAUUCCAGAUCUCUUCUAUUUCUUGUGUGACUGUUUAUGAGGUGUGAUGUGGCAUUUUUUGAUUGGCUUAAAAUAGGUGGCAUGGAUUGUUAACUUGGACAAGGGGGUGGGUUCAAAUGCGUGUCAGGCACAUUGGCCUUGUGAUUUUUGGGCCAAAUAUGCAGGAAUGUACUUUAAAUUGUAACCACAUUGAGUUUAAUGUGACAAUUGCUAUUACAGCUUUUUUGAGUUUUUAAACCCUCUUUAUAAUUAAAUUAAUUAGAUUUAAUUAAUCCCAACUGAAUGUAAUAAAAUAUAAUUAUAAAAUAUAUUAACUAAUCACUAUAGUUAUUUUGUUGUUAAAAUAAUUAAUAUUCCAGAUAUAAAAUUGUACGAAUUAAUUUCGGCUAAUCAAAGUAAUAUAAUUGUAAUUUUUAGACUAAAUUAUUAAAUAUAUUGUAAAACUUAUUUAUUAAGAUGUGAAAUGUAAUUUUAAUUAAUUAAAUCAGUAGGAGUAAAAUAAUUUUUAAAUAUUUAAUACUAAAUUACUAUUACUUAAAUAUUUUUAAUUAUUAUGUAUUAUAUCGUUUAUAUUUUAAGAAAAUAUUUAAAAAUACUUUGCUACAUUUAUUUCUGAUUAAUAAGCGUAUAUAAUUUACUUUAAUGGGAGAGGGUCAAAAUUGGUCGUUAAAAUCGGUAACGUGGACUCAAUUCUUUCUUUUACUAAUAUACAGGAGUCUCCUAUAACUGUAAGAAUGUCAACAUAUAUGAUGGAUGCAUAAUAAUUUGAAAUCUUAAGUGUGUUCAUAAGAUAAAUAACUUUGGGUCAUAGAUCGAAUAAUUCCUUUCAUGCCUUCUUAGUUGUCUUUAAACAUGAGCAAGUACUUUUCCUGGUCGUUCUACCACUUGUUGUAUGAAUACUUGGCUUAUGUUACUUCCGACGCAUAGUAGAAUUUGCGUAACUCAUAUGAUCUCAAAUGUUACUUUUGAUUUCACUUCCCGUUUAUUAGUCAAGAUAGGUGCUACUUUCUUAUGGAGUGCAUACAACGUUCUAAUGAGGCUACUGUUACAAGAUUAUUUCUUCUAUAAUAUUGAAUUCAGGUUGCUAUGCUUAGGUUAAAGCGUUAUUCCUUAUUUCCUCAACUAGUCUUUCGUUGUAGUACAUAGAGGACACCCCUUGACUCUUGUAACGUUGCGAGCUUAUCACAUUAUAUAUCUUACGGUAUUUUCGAUGUCCCUACUCGCUUAUAUUUAUCCUUAGUUACUUCCCUCCAUGCCUUUGUGAUCGUAGGGUUACUUCUAAACUCAAAUUGUGAUUGUCUCCCUUGCGCCACUCUCUUUUAUUUCUGUAACACUCAUAUGGUACCUUUAAUUACCUCAACUCCUAUCUGAAUACUUCUCAAAGAUUACGAUCUCAUAUAUGCGAGACUGAAUUUCCUUUGCUGGGGUUCACUAUGUGUAUCUUGCAUGAUCUGCUGAUUUAUUUGUGACGUCUUGACUAGCCAUAACUAGGCUCUUCUUAAAUCGACUACCAACUAAUGUAUAGUCCAUUCACAUAUCUAUAUUCUGCGUAACCUCUCUUAGGUUAUGUCUUUUGUCUUAACUUACGUCUCGCAUUGGUUCCUUAUGUAUCAAAUGUCCAUUCACACUUAUUUAUCAAUUAACAUCCUUGUCGGGAACCCUUACUGCAUCUUCCUGUCGUGACACAGCUAUAAGAACUGAAUAAAUGCAAUCUCAUUCCUUUCGCCUUUUUACCGCAUUCUUCCUUUACCAUUCUAUAUUUACCUGAACGACUUAACUCCGACUUAAUACCAUAUCACACCAUUUUUCUACUUUAGGGGAGUACAAAUAUUUAAUUCUCUGAAGUUUUAUGUGUAGAUGUUUUACCUCUUCAUCUUCGGCGUUUUCUCACAUGUCCAAUGACCCUUAACCGUCUUGCGGUAACCUUUCUAUUCCACGGAUAAAAGAAUUCCUUACACAUGAAGGUGACACCUAGUGUAACUGGCACACUUAGUCCCUUAAGCUUAACUUUGUUCACAUUUCUUGCUAAAGGAAAGCGUCUUCCUGAAUGACCUUUAAAGGUUAUUCUUUUGUUGUCCAUUCUAUUAGUGUCGGAAUGAGUCUCUAUAAUUCUCACAAUGUCGAUAAUUAUCGAAUCCUCUGGUCCCUAAUUCAUGUUCGUUUUAUCGUUUUUACUAGCUUGUACUGAUUCUAUUACUCUGUGGAUCCAACUUGUCCUUCUAGUAAUCACGUAGUUACUAACUCAUUUCUCGAAAUGAUGAUAUGACUUUAUGACUUAUAUUAUUUUACAGUCUCAAGGCAUGUCUCCUCUUGUAUUUUCAUUCACAUGAGUAUAGACUUUGUCAUCUUGUCAUAUUUUCUUUUACCUUUAUUAACCCAUUUAUUACAUCAUAAUGCUUUAUUUACUAUUUACUUAUUUUCUCUCUAAUGUUUCUGUCUAUUACCUUAUUCUGAAAACUUCAACAAAAUAUUCUCUCGCUUUAGCUCCCCUUGCUUCAUCUCACUGGAACUUCAGAUCGCCUAACUUCUCUCCUUACUAGGUACAUGUCACGACCCAAACUACCAUGUCGUGAUGGCGCCCAUCGUGGUACUUGGCUAGAUGACUCUUUACCAAAAACAACAAGAUAUUUCAUUUCAAAGAUAAAUUCAAGCUAUUUAAUAAUAAAAUAUCAUAAAGAAAUUCUAAACAACGAAAGUGCGGAAAGAAAAGCCUGACAUCAGGGUAUCACAAGUCAUGAGCACCUAUUACAAUUUGUCCGAAAAUACUGAGACUAAUACAGUGUGGAAAGUAACUGCAAACAACUAUAGGAAGAUAGGAGGGAGAAGAUCAGGGUUCCGAUCGCCAUCAGCUAUCUUGCUAACUCCAAGAAGAUCCACAGCUGGAAUAGUCAAUAGCCGCUACCGGGUCCUGAUAUGCCUGGAUAUGCACACAAGGUGCAGGAAGUAACGUGAGUACGCCAACUCAAUAAGUAACAAAAGUAAAUAAAGGCUGAGAAGUAGUGACGAGCAAUAAAGCAUUUAAAGCUCAUAUCAUGGAGCCUGAGUAAAAUACAACAGACUUUUAAAAUCAGGGUUGAAUCAAAUCAUCUAUUUUAAACCCAGUUCUAGUAAAAAUCAUUUAAAGAUAUUUUUCGAUAGUUUUCAAAUAAAGGCUCAAUGCAAAGGUGGGCAAAAAUUAUGAAAUCAUAAAUAACCCCCCGGGCAAAACAUCACUCAUAUACAGUCCCUUCGGGCAAACCUUACAGUCACUCGUAUACAACCCCUUGGGCAUACCUCACCAUCAUUCAUGCCUCCCAGUCACUCAGCACUCGCACUCAGUGGGUACCUGCGCUCACUGGGAGUGUGUAGACUCUGGAUGAGCUCCUUCAGCCUAAGCGCUAUAACAAGCCAACUCGUGGCAUAAAUCAAUCAAACCCUCGGCCUAUAUCAAAAUAUGAUGCGGCGUGCAGCCCGAUCCCAUAAAUAUCCUCACAAAUUAGGCCCUCGGCCUCACUCAGUCAUAAACCUCUCAAGCCAUUCCGACUCUCAGUAAAAACAAGGUCUUCAGCCCAAAACAACAUUUAUAUGCAUCAAAAUAGAGUAGUAAAGAUUGAGUCGUGCAAUAAAUAAGUAUAACUGUGACUGGGUAUAGAUUUUUCAACCGAAAACAAUGAGAGGAUAAUAAGAAAAAGACCCCUAAGGGUCCAAAAAGCUCUGGCACAAGGCCUAAACUUGGCAUUCAACCCAAUUUACAGAAACUCUUUCUAAAACACAUACGUAUCAUAUAGUUUCAAACAAAUAUGCAACUUUACAGUUGCUAUGGGAUGGACCAAAGUUGCUAUGGGAUGGACCAGGUCAUAAUCCCCAACGAUUCACGCCUACACGCCCGUCACCUAGCAUGUGUGUCACCUCAAAAUAGUAAAACAAUACGAAAUCCGGGGUUUCAUACCCUCUGGACUAGAUUUACAAUCGUUACUUACCUCAAGCUGAUCAAAUCUCUACUCUGCGAUGCUCUUGCCCCACUACAAGAAAAAGUGCCUAUAGCGAGGGGAAAACGAUCGUUAAAAGUCCAAAUCCGGUCGUUAUAAACUUGUAGAGACUGGAGAAAAUCCGGUCGUCACCGGUCGUUAAAAGCUUUGACGUUAAAAGUUAACGACCGGACUGUAAGUCGACCGUUAAAGAUCCUUUAGCGACAACAUAAAUUCCGGUCGUUGUGUCUUUUUUAGCGACAAAUUUUCUCUUCGUUAAAUUGUCAUCCCGAUCGUUAAAAAACUUUAUGGGAGCAACGAAUUUGGUCGUUACAGGUACUUUUAUAGCCCAAAUUUCCCUUCGCUAAUGAGAAGUUUUACUAAAUAUAAUUAUAGAACUUUAUUUUACUGAAUAUAAAAUAAUUAUUUCAUAUGCUUUCAUACACAUACGACACAAUCAAACCUAUAUUAAAUAAUCAGAAUUCAUAUGAAACUUCAUCAUUGAUACAAUGAACUAAAGAAUAAUAAAACCAUCCAAAUUGUAUGACAAUAUUUUAACAACUUCUAAACGUAGAAAAAAAUGCAUUCAAUGUACAUCAGAUAUCUUUAAACCACCCCAACAAAAUAAAUUUCUUGUAUUUCAACUUUUUCCUCUGCACUUUUUCAAGGAUUGAUAUUUCGAACUUCCAAAUUCUUGAUCUGCUACACUUUACUCGUAUAUGAUUUGUAUUAGAACUACUAGACCAUGCGAAGCAAUUUGCAGUCUAAAGUAAUCUUUAUUUGCAAAAUUGCAACUAAAGAUUAUCUCCAGAUGAUAUCUCAUGCUCAAUUCUAGGUAAGCCUUCACGGCACUUUGACUUUACCAAACAUGAUCCUUGCAGCUUGUUGGAUUAUGCCUUCAACAUCUCCAUAACUUGAGCAACCUUGAAAGUGUUAAACUUUGUUGAGAAUCGAAGAAAAUCUAGUGUAACCUGAAAGACACCGUUAUGAAGAAGCAAAUGCCUCUCCAUUAGAAUUGGACUUUACAUAGUUAGUGAAAUGUAAAUCUUCUAAUAUAAAGUAACAUAUGCAUCGUAAAAAAGCUACAACACUUAAAGAUUUGAAUCACAAUAUUAGGUGAUAUGUUACUACAGUUAGCUGAUGCAUGAAAGAGGAAAGUUAUAAUGAGUACAUAAACGUGUUUAGUAAGCAGAACAUAAAUAAUCACACAAUCAAGUGCUUUCACAGUUCAAUCAAGUGUUUAGUAAGCAACCCUCUUUGUGUUUAUCAGUAUAUAAAGAAUCACAUAAUUUCUUUUGCGAUUAACUGUCUAAGAAAUUGUUAAAUCUGAUUCAAGCUUUGAAAAAUAGGUUAUUAGCCCAUUCAUAUUUAUUGGAAGAGAAAAAAUAGCUCAUUCAUUAUUAUCAGAAGAGAAAAAAGAGCUCAUUCAUUAUUUAAAGGAGCGCAAAUUAUUAACUUGGUUUUAAAAGAGCUGCUGAAUCUGAUAUGAUAGGCAAAAUGUGGGAAAUAGGAAGCAGAAAUAAAGUUCUCCAGAAAUAGCAUGCACUACUCCACUCCCAUUAGGUAUAACGUUUUCGGUUCAAUUAACAAAACACAAUUAAAGAACUAAGAGACAACUAAAAACUAUGUAAAAAUUUAAAUCAAUUAACUCAAGAUGACAACAUGUCCAUUGUUAUAUUACUGUUAGUAGGCAAUCUUCAGUUUACUCAUGAAUUUUUCUAAAGUAAUUCUUCGAGCUUUAAUUAAUCCACUUCAGAUUAUAUCCUAAUUCUGCUCUUCCUCUUAUUAUUGCUUUUACUUUACUAAACGUGAUGAAUAGGCAUUAAUUUAUAGUUCUCAAUCUUUCUUUAAUGUCACUCAAAACAAUCUCCAGAGAUUUACGUCAACAGAAAUGUUAAGCACAAGAGCAUUUUAUUCCAUUACAAAUGAUCCAAAAAAAGAGAGCAUUUUAUUCAAUUAUAUAACAACAAGUAUCACAGAGCUCAAUGCAACAACUUAGACAAAGAAAAGAAUUAUAUGUGGAACUUAGUCAUUUGGUCAGGAUCCUUCUUCAAUAUACCCACUUUUCUCACUUUCUUCCUCUCUUUCUUGUUCUGGGGAAAUAUUAAAAAACAAAAAUAAAUAAAUUCCACAUAAACCCCACCUAAUAACUUGUUACGGGAUAUUCAAACAAACAGCUCUUCAUAAGAACCAUCCUUUAAUUUUCCUUUUGUUUCAAAUAGAUGUCUCAUAAGAUUCAAAGUUUGUCUGCAUGUACAUAAAAACGUAAAAUAUGCAAGUAAAAAUAAUAGGUUUGAAGGUUAUGUCCACAAAAGCAUAUAAGCAAAACAAUUGUAUCAUAUUACAAAUGAUAUAAACAUGUAGCCACUGCUAGAUAAUCGAUCUUUCCUAUCAGAGAAUUAAUCUCAUAAUUUUAGAGGAGUCCUAUAAUAAGGAUGAAGUAUAUGAAGCCAUAUUUAAGACAUUUAGAAUGAGGAUACAUGAACAUAUAUCUAUAACAGUUCAAGUGCAAGAAAAAUGUCAAUUAACAUAAAGCAAUCUACAUGAGAUUAUCAUCUCUUUUUUAUAAAUAGACCACAUUACCACAGUCUAAACAAAAGUUCCAAUUUUUUACAAUAAUAUGAAUAAAAGUGAAUCAAGAGAGAAAAUAUCUUAACAUUAAAAGAUUACCCAUGUUCUGUUGAGAUUAUUUAUGACUAAAUUCCAUAUGCUUUCUG
This 10259-nucleotide long non-coding RNA is filed under the name Nicotiana tabacum (common tobacco). RNAcentral's name for it is "long non-coding RNA (NTAB_LNC000770)". Lineage: Eukaryota; Viridiplantae; Streptophyta; Magnoliopsida; Solanales; Solanaceae. The record is from RNAcentral.